RNAcentral lists this transfer RNA (74 nucleotides) under Agathobacter rectalis. RNAcentral describes it as "tRNA-Arg". It matches the Rfam family "tRNA". Rfam says of the family: Transfer RNA (tRNA) molecules are approximately 80 nucleotides in length. Their secondary structure includes four short double-helical elements and three loops (D, anti-codon, and T loops). Lineage: Bacteria; Bacillati; Bacillota; Clostridia; Lachnospirales; Lachnospiraceae. The record is from RNAcentral.
UGUUUUCAUAGUUAAAUGGAUAUAACAAGCGCCUCCUAAGCGCUAGUUGGGGGUUCGAUUCCCCCUGAGAACAG